This 783-nucleotide long non-coding RNA is filed under the name Olea europaea subsp. europaea. Lineage: Eukaryota; Viridiplantae; Streptophyta; Magnoliopsida; Lamiales; Oleaceae. The record is from RNAcentral.
UGUUUUCACUUGCAUAUUAUCAGAUUGAUAUCUACAUUUGCUGAUAUAUCAUGAAAUCCCAUGUAUAUGCAGCAAAGAGUAUGAAGAUAUCUCCAUAAAGGCGAAAUCAAGGUUUAACAUCUCUCUCCGAAGCCUCUCACAACCCAUGUCACUUAAGGAGAUAGCAAGGACUUGGGAUAUUUGUGCUCGUGCUGUUAUUUCUGAGUAUGCACAGCAAAGUGGUGGAGGAAGUUUUAGCUCGAAAUAUGGGACUUGGGAGAACUGCUUGACUACAGCAUGAUGAUGCUUCUUAUUUGUUCGUCUCCAGUUAAAACUUUAUGGAUAUUGAAGAAGAUAUUCUUCUGUAUUUAUAUUUAACCUCACUCCUGGAACGCUGGACAUGUAAAUAUAGGUUUUGUAACUCUCCUGCAAGUCAUAUGAAUGCGCAAAGACUCAAAUGUGCAGUACAUUUGUAAAUGUUUAUUUUUCUGAUUUGGUUUUUAACUGUUCUGGUGAAGUUAAAUAUGUUCUAUUUAGAAAUCUGAACAUAUGAAGCAGAAGUUUUUCACAGUUGAUUUCUAUUCUGUAGUAAAUUCUGGAAUGCGAUGGUCCAAGGGAACCCAGUUAUACCUUUUGACAAGGAGUGUAAAUAAAUAGAAUUAAGUGUCUAAAUAGACUUGGACAUCUUCUGGGGGAACAUAUAUUUUGGCUCGAGCUCGACUUUAAUUUUUAAAUGAAGGAAUUUUGAAUUGAUUGGGUUGGGUCGAUAAAUUGUUGGUGGUCACUAAAAUUUUAGUGGAAUUU